Molecule: non-coding RNA, 480 nt
Organism: Melanotaenia boesemani (Boeseman's rainbowfish)
Lineage: Eukaryota; Metazoa; Chordata; Actinopteri; Atheriniformes; Melanotaeniidae
Source: the annotation of a RefSeq genome assembly
CUCAUUUUCAGCCUCAGGAUGAUGAAGACACUCACCAUCCUGCUGCUUGCUCUCUCUCUGCCCUGUUCUACAGGUCAGAGUAUAGAGACCAUUCCUUCCAGUCCUGUAGUGAAAAAUCCUGGUGAGACUCUGAGUCUCUCCUGCAGAGGAUCUGGGUUUUCAUUUGGCUGCUGCAGCAUGAGCUGGAUCAGACAAGCUGCUGGAAAAGGACUGGAAUGGAUGGGACGUAUCUACAGCGAUGCAAGUAGAACAGAGUAUUCCAGCAGCGUUCAAGGUCGAAUAGAAAUCACCAGAGACAACAGCAACAGCAUGGUUUAUCUGAAACUGUCCAACUUAGUAUCUGAGGACUCUGCUACAUAUUAAUGUGCAAAGCACACACUGAUUAAAACAGAUGGUGAGGCUUUACAAAAACUCCACAGGGAUAGUUCUUACUUUGACCAGAUAGGGACAGUAAAGUAAACGGUAAAUGGUCUGAACUCC